UACGGAGGGUGCAAGCGUUAUCCGGAUUCACUGGGUUUAAAGGGUGCGUAGGUGGGCAGUUAAGUCAGUGGUGAAAUCUCCGGGCUCAACCCGGAAACUGCCAUUGAUACUAUCUGUCUUGAAUAUCGUGGAGGUAAGCGGAAUAUGUCAUGUAGCGGUGAAGUGCUUAGAUAUGACAUAGAACACCAAUUGCGAAGGCAGCUUACUACCCGAAUAUUGACACUGAGGCACGAAAGCGUGGGGAUCAAACAGG
RNAcentral lists this ribosomal RNA (253 nucleotides) under uncultured bacterium. RNAcentral describes it as "partial 16S ribosomal RNA". It matches the Rfam family "Bacterial small subunit ribosomal RNA", at positions 524 to 776 of the family's 1533-position model. The record is from RNAcentral.